This 405-nucleotide ribosomal RNA is filed under the name Bacillus sp. (in: firmicutes). Its description in RNAcentral is "bacterial SSU rRNA". It matches the Rfam family "Bacterial small subunit ribosomal RNA", at positions 56 to 449 of the family's 1533-position model. Lineage: Bacteria; Bacillati; Bacillota; Bacilli; Caryophanales; Bacillaceae. The record is from RNAcentral.
UGCAAGUCGAGCGAACUGAUUAGAAGCUUGCUUCUAUGACGUUAGCGGCGGACGGGUGAGUAACACGUGGGCAACCUGCCUGUAAGACUGGGAUAACUUCGGGAAACCGAAGCUAAUACCGGAUAGGAUCUUCUCCUUCAUGGGAGAUGAUUGAAAGAUGGUUUCGGCUAUCACUUACAGAUGGGCCCGCGGUGCAUUAGCUAGUUGGUGAGGUAACGGCUCACCAAGGCAACGAUGCAUAGCCGACCUGAGAGGGUGAUCGGCCACACUGGGACUGAGACACGGCCCAGACUCCUACGGGAGGCAGCAGUAGGGAAUCUUCCGCAAUGGACGAAAGUCUGACGGAACAACGCCGCGUGAGUGAUGAAGGCUUUCGGGUCGUAAAACUCUGUUGGUAGGGAAGAA